GAUGAAGAACGUAGCGAAAUGCGAUACGUAAUGUGAAUUGCAGAAUUCAGUGAAUCAUCGAAUCUUUGAACGCAUAUUGCGCUCUCUGGUAUUCCGGAGAGCAUGCUUGUUUGAGUAUCAGUAAACACCUCAACUUCCAUAUCUUUUUUGAAAUGGGAGUUGGACUUGAGUGAUUCCAACGCUUUUCCUCACCGAAAAGUGGCGGGUUACUUGAAAUGCAGGUGCAGCUGGACUUUUCUCUGAGCUAUAAGCAUAUCUAUUUAGUCUGCCUAAAAAACAGAUUAUUACCUUUGCUGCAGCUAACAUAAAGGAGAUUAGUUCUUGUGCUGACUGAUGCAGGAUUCACAAAGACAGGCUUCGGCCGACUUUGUAAACUCGAUCUCAAAUCAAGUAAGACUACCCGCUGAACUUAAGCAUAUCAAUAAGCGGAGGA
This 433-nucleotide unclassified non-coding RNA is filed under the name soil metagenome. RNAcentral describes it as "partial contains 5.8S ribosomal RNA, internal transcribed spacer 2, and large subunit ribosomal RNA". The stretch from base 1 to 120 matches the Rfam family "5.8S ribosomal RNA", at positions 35 to 154 of the family's 154-position model. The record is from RNAcentral.